AGAGUUUGAUCAUGGCUCAGGACGAACGCUGGCGGCACGCUUAACACAUGCAAGUCGAACGAGAGAAGAGGAGCUUGCUUUUCUGAUCUAGUGGCGGACGGGUGAGUAACACGUGAGCAAUCUGCCUUUCAGAGGGGGAUACCGAUUGGAAACGAUCGUUAAUACCGCAUAACAUAAUUGAACCGCAUGAUUUGAUUAUCAAAGAUUUAUCGCUGAAAGAUGAGCUCGCGUCUGAUUAGCUAGUUGGUAAGGUAACGGCUUACCAAGGCGACGAUCAGUAGCCGGACUGAGAGGUUGAUCGGCCACAUUGGGACUGAGACACGGCCCAGACUCCUACGGGAGGCAGCAGUGGGGAAUAUUGCACAAUGGAGGAAACUCUGAUGCAGCGAUGCCGCGUGAGGGAAGAAGGUUUUAGGAUUGUAAACCUCUGUCUUCAGGGACGAAAAAAGACGGUACCUGAGGAGGAAGCUCCGGCUAACUACGUGCCAGCAGCCGCGGUAAUACGUAGGGAGCGAGCGUUGUCCGGAAUUACUGGGUGUAAAGGGAGCGUAGGCGGGAUCGCAAGUCAGAUGUGAAAACUAUGGGCUUAACCCAUAAACUGCAUUUGAAACUGUGGUUCUUGAGUGAAGUAGAGGUAAGCGGAAUUCCUAGUGUAGCGGUGAAAUGCGUAGAUAUUAGGAGGAACAUCAGUGGCGAAGGCGGCUUACUGGGCUUUAACUGACGCUGAGGCUCGAAAGCGUGGGGAGCAAACAGGAUUAGAUACCCUGGUAGUCCACGCCGUAAACGAUGAUUACUAGGUGUGGGGGGACUGACCCCUUCCGUGCCGCAGCAAACGCAAUAAGUAAUCCACCUGGGGAGUACGACCGCAAGGUUGAAACUCAAAGGAAUUGACGGGGGCCCGCACAAGCAGUGGAGUAUGUGGAUUAAUUCGAAGCAACGCGAAGAACCUUACCAGGUCUUGACAUCGUAUGCAUAGCUCAGAGAUGAGUGAAAUCUCUUCGGAGACAUAUAGACAGGUGGUGCAUGGUUGUCGUCAGCUCGUGUCGUGAGAUGUUGGGUUAAGUCCCGCAACGAGCGCAACCCUUACUGUUAGUUGCUACGCAAGAGCACUCUAGCAGGACUGCCGUUGACAAAACGGAGGAAGGUGGGGAUGACGUCAAAUCAUCAUGCCCCUUAUGACCUGGGCCUCACACGUACUACAAUGGCUGUCAACAGAGGGAAGCAAAGCCGCGAGGUGGAGCGAACCCCUAAAAGCAGUCUUAGUUCGGAUUGUAGGCUGCAACCCGCCUACAUGAAGUCGGAAUUGCUAGUAGUCGCAGAUCAGCAUGCUGCGGUGAAUACGUUCCCGGGCCUUGUACACACCGCCCGUCACGCCAUGGGAGUCGGUAACACCCGAAGCCUGUAGUCUAACCGCAAGGAGGACGCAGUCGAAGGUGGGAUUGAUGACUGGGGUGAAGUCGUAACAAGGUA
RNAcentral lists this ribosomal RNA (1470 nucleotides) under metagenome. Its description in RNAcentral is "bacterial SSU rRNA". It matches the Rfam family "Bacterial small subunit ribosomal RNA". The record is from RNAcentral.